ACAAGGACGAUCUCCCAAGACGGUGCCUCUCGGGAGGACUUUCUGUGAAAAACUGCUGGCCCUUACUUAAUAUUAGAUACGUAGGAGAGCCAAUAUAAUCAGAGAGGUGAUAAUGUUAUGUUAAAUCCUAUUGGUCCUAUUGGCUAACUGCCGACCUUGGCUACUGGACGCCAUUAACAGUACAUAGUUUGCACGUGGUUUACUUACCGUUUUUUUUGCAUUUGUUUUACGCUAUUUUUUAUUGCAUUUUCUAUUAAUUCAAUUUAAUGUUUCAAUUUAAGGAGCCCAAAAAUAAAAUCUUUCACAGGGCAGAUGAAAAACUAGUUGCGAUACUGAUGUUGGUUCCUAUCCCUCACCACCCGGCCACCCCAUUGUGGCUUGGUCGAACCCACGAUAGAUGUAAACGGAUACGUAACCAAAAAUUCAUACAAAACCAAAUAGCUUGACUCCGAAAGGAAAGGAACUUUAAACGUAGCGAUUCGUUAUUCAUAGAGGAAGGAUUAAGAUCACUUUUAAGAUUACAGAAAGAAAUUAGGUGGGCAGAAAACAAGAAGAGAAGUAUGAUAAGAUUAUACUGUGUAGUGCGUAAUUUGGAGGCAUCGUAUUAAGUGUGAAGUGGAACACAGGUUUGUCCCAAAUUUGACAUCUGGUCACAGUACAUUGCCAAAAUGUUUUGCCAACAAAUGUAGUUGAUAGUUUUUAAGGCAAUAGAAAUAAAAUUUCUACGUUAACGAAAGAAGCUGUGUUCGGACAUACGUCUAAGAAUCUAUCUUCGA
Molecule: long non-coding RNA, 776 nt
Organism: Centruroides sculpturatus (bark scorpion)
Lineage: Eukaryota; Metazoa; Arthropoda; Arachnida; Scorpiones; Buthidae
Exons: 4
Source: RefSeq, a predicted model, not a curated record